UAGGGAAUCUUCGGCAAUGGGGGGAACCCUGACCGAGCAACGCCGCGUGAGUGAAGAAGGUUUUCGGAUCGUAAAGCUCUGUUGUUAAGGAAGAACGAGUGUGAGAAUGGAAAGUUCAUGCUGUGACGGUACUUAACCAGAAAGGGACGGCUAACUACGUGCCAGCAGCCGCGGUAAUACGUAGGUCCCGAGCGUUGUCCGGAUUUAUUGGGCGUAAAGCGAGCGCAGGCGGUUAGAAAAGUCUGAAGUGAAAGGCAGUGGCUCAACCAUUGUAGGCUUUGGAAACUGUUUAACUGGAGUGCAGGAGGGGAGAGUGGAAUUCCAUGUGUAGCGGUGAAAUGCGUAGAUAUAUGGAGGAACACCGGUGGCGAAAGCGGCUCUCUGGUCUGUAACUGACGCUGAGGCUCGAAAGCGUGGGGAGCGAACAGG
This 429-nucleotide ribosomal RNA is filed under the name Bacteroidota bacterium. Its description in RNAcentral is "Bacteroidetes bacterium partial 16S ribosomal RNA". It matches the Rfam family "Bacterial small subunit ribosomal RNA", at positions 355 to 776 of the family's 1533-position model. The record is from RNAcentral. Lineage: Bacteria; Pseudomonadati; Bacteroidota.